UUUCCGUAGGUGAACCUGCGGAAGGAUCAUUCAUAAUAAAGUGCUUUAUGGCACUUUUUAAAAAUCCAUAUCCACCUUGUGUGCAAUGUUAGAUCUCGUCAAUCUUGGCGAGAUUUUUAUACAUCAACUCAUUUUUUAACUAAUUUUUCUGAAACAUAUUAUGAAUACUUAAUUCAAAAUACAACUUUCAACAACGGAUCUCUUGGCUCUC
Molecule: unclassified non-coding RNA, 211 nt
Filed under: plant metagenome
Description: partial contains small subunit ribosomal RNA, internal transcribed spacer 1, and 5.8S ribosomal RNA
Source: RNAcentral